UACGUAGUGGGCAAGCGUUGUCCGGAUUUAUUGGGCGUAAAGAGCGUGUAGGCGGCCUGACAGGUCUGCUGUGAAAACUCGAGGCUCAACCUCGAGAUGUCGGCGGAAACCGUCUGGCUAGAGUCCGGAAGAGGAGAGUGGAAUUCCUGGUGUAGCGGUGAAAUGCGCAGAUAUCAGGAAGAACACCUAUGGCGAAGGCAGCUCUCUGGGACGGUACUGACGCUGAGACGCGAAAGCGUGGGGAGCGAACAGG
RNAcentral lists this ribosomal RNA (253 nucleotides) under uncultured bacterium. RNAcentral's name for it is "partial 16S ribosomal RNA". It matches the Rfam family "Bacterial small subunit ribosomal RNA", at positions 524 to 776 of the family's 1533-position model. The record is from RNAcentral.